UAACGGUCCUAAGGUAGCAAAUUUCCUUGUCGUCUUAAUAACGACCUGCAUGAAACAUAGAACGAUUUGAUAGCUGUCUUGCACACACAUCAUGGUAAAAUAUUCAUCAGUACAAAUAAUAUGCUGCUGACACUAAAGGACAAAAAGACCCUUUGAAGCUUUAUAGGGAUAAAACUCAGCUUUAAAUCAACAAACAAUGAAAUCCAUCUUGUUGCUUCUCCGCUUUUUAAAUUGCUAAAGCCUUACAAGAUUUACAACAUCAAGACCACUGUUUAAUUGGGGCGAUAACCUUAUCCACAGCCACCUAAGGUGAACAAAGCGAUACAAGGAUCCUAAAUACUAAUUUGACCAACUAAUAAGUGCAAAGAUACAUGUUUUGCUUAAUGGCCCAACAAGUCCUUCCCAGUACUUAAAUGCUAUCUUAAUGAGCUUUAAAUUA
Molecule: ribosomal RNA, 439 nt
Filed under: Symbiodinium sp. B1
Lineage: Eukaryota; Dinophyceae; Suessiales; Symbiodiniaceae
Description: partial 23S ribosomal RNA
Rfam family: Bacterial large subunit ribosomal RNA
Source: RNAcentral